GCGCCCGUAGCUCAGCCGGAUAGAGCAUCUGCCUUCUAAGCAGAGGGUCGCAGGUUCGAGUCCUGCCGGGCGUA
This 74-nucleotide transfer RNA is filed under the name Acidobacteriota bacterium. RNAcentral's name for it is "Acidobacteria bacterium (sediment metagenome) tRNA-Arg". It matches the Rfam family "tRNA". Rfam says of the family: Transfer RNA (tRNA) molecules are approximately 80 nucleotides in length. Their secondary structure includes four short double-helical elements and three loops (D, anti-codon, and T loops). Lineage: Bacteria; Pseudomonadati; Acidobacteriota. The record is from RNAcentral.